GGAAUUGACGGGGCCCGCACAAGCGGUGGAGUAUGUGGUUUAAUUCGAAGCAACGCGAAGAACCUUACCAGGUCUUGACAUACCGGGCAAAGCCUCAGAGAUGAGGAAAUAGUUAUGCCGGAUACAGGUGGUGCAUGGUUGUCGUCAGCCCGUGUCGUGAGAUGUUGGGUUAAGUCCCGCAACGAGCGCAACCCUUGUCUUCAGUUACCAUCAUUCAGUUGGGGACUCUGGAGAGACUGCCGGUGACAAACCGGAGGAAGGUGGGGAUGACGUCAAAUCAUCAUGCCCCUUAUGACCUGGGCUACACACGUACUACAAUGGCGUAUACAACGGGAAGCGAAAUGGUGACAUGGAGCAAAUCUCACAAAGUACGUCUCAGUUCGGAUUGAAGUCUGCAACUCGACUUCAUGAAGUCGGAAUCGCUAGUAAUCGCGGAUCAGCAUGCCGCGGUGAAUACGUUCUCGGGCCUU
Molecule: ribosomal RNA, 470 nt
Filed under: uncultured Erysipelothrix sp.
Lineage: Bacteria; Bacillati; Bacillota; Erysipelotrichia; Erysipelotrichales; Erysipelotrichaceae
Description: bacterial SSU rRNA
Rfam family: Bacterial small subunit ribosomal RNA
Source: RNAcentral